GUGGCAGACGGGUGAGUAACGCGUGGGAAUCUACCUAGUUCUACGGAACAACUGAGGGAAACUUCAGCUAAUACCGUAUACGCCCUACGGGGGAAAGAUUUAUCGGAAUUAGAUGAGCCCGCGUAAGAUUAGCUAGUUGGUGGGGUAAUGGCCUACCAAGGCGACGAUCUUUAGCUGGUCUGAGAGGAUGAUCAGCCACACUGGGACUGAGACACGGCCCAGACUCCUACGGGAGGCAGCAGUGGGGAAUAUUGGACAAUGGGCGCAAGCCUGAUCCAGCCAUGCCGCGUGAGUGAUGAAGGCCUUAGGGUUGUAAAGCUCUUUCAGUGGGGAAGAUAAUGACGGUACCCACAGAAGAAGCCCCGGCUAACUUCGUGCCAGCAGCCGCGGUAAUACGAAGGGGGCUAGCGUUGUUCGGAUUUACUGGGCGUAAAGCGCACGUAGGCGGGUUGUUAAGUCAGAGGUGAAAUCCUGGAGCUCAACUCCAGAACUGCCUUUGAUACUGGCAAUCUAGAGUCCGGAAGAGGUGAGUGGAACUCCUAGUGUAGAGGUGGAAUUCGUAGAUAUUAGGAAGAACACCAGUGGCGAAGGCGGCUCACUGGUCCGGUACUGACGCUGAGG
Molecule: ribosomal RNA, 621 nt
Filed under: Devosia sp. R120
Lineage: Bacteria; Pseudomonadati; Pseudomonadota; Alphaproteobacteria; Hyphomicrobiales; Devosiaceae
Description: bacterial SSU rRNA
Rfam family: Bacterial small subunit ribosomal RNA
Source: RNAcentral